GGAGAUAUAGCUCAGUUGGUAGAGUGCUUGCCUCAUGUGCAGAAGGCCGUGGGUUUGCUCCCCAGCACCACCG
RNAcentral lists this transfer RNA (73 nucleotides) under Ictidomys tridecemlineatus (thirteen-lined ground squirrel). RNAcentral describes it as "Spermophilus tridecemlineatus (thirteen-lined ground squirrel) tRNA". It matches the Rfam family "tRNA". Rfam says of the family: Transfer RNA (tRNA) molecules are approximately 80 nucleotides in length. Their secondary structure includes four short double-helical elements and three loops (D, anti-codon, and T loops). Lineage: Eukaryota; Metazoa; Chordata; Mammalia; Rodentia; Sciuridae. The record is from Rfam by way of RNAcentral.